GAUGAACGCUGGCGGCGUGCCUAAUACAUGCAAGUCGAGCGAACGGACGAGAAGCUUGCUUCUCUGAUGUUAGCGGCGGACGGGUGAGUAACACGUGGAUAACCUACCUAUAAGACUGGGAUAACUUCGGGAAACCGGAGCUAAUACCGGAUAAUAUUUUGAACCGCAUGGUUCAAAAGUGAAAGACGGUCUUGCUGUCACUUAUAGAUGGAUCCGCGCUGCAUUAGCUAGUUGGUAAGGUAACGGCUUACCAAGGCAACGAUGCAUAGCCGACCUGAGAGGGUGAAUCGCCACCACGGGACCUAAAAACGGUCCCAAACCCCAACGGAGGACAGCAGAGGGAAAUCUCCCGAAUUGGGCGAAGCCUUAAGGGGGAAAGGCGGGGUAGUGAUUAAGGGUUUCCGAUUCGUAAACCUCUUUAUUAGGGAAGAAACAUAUGUGAAGGUACCUUUGCCCUUUUGAACGGACCCAAUUAGAAAGGCACGGCUAACUACGUG
RNAcentral lists this ribosomal RNA (497 nucleotides) under uncultured bacterium. RNAcentral describes it as "partial 16S ribosomal RNA". It matches the Rfam family "Bacterial small subunit ribosomal RNA", at positions 28 to 507 of the family's 1533-position model. The record is from RNAcentral.